Molecule: long non-coding RNA, 644 nt
Organism: Drosophila biarmipes
Lineage: Eukaryota; Metazoa; Arthropoda; Insecta; Diptera; Drosophilidae
Exons: 2
Source: RefSeq, a predicted model, not a curated record
AGUGAAAUAUAAGGCUAUGCUCUAUAUCACAAAUUUUUAAACAGAAAAAGGCUUUCAAAUUGACAAUCACAUAAAGUAUAAAAUUGUAGUAUUGAAAGGCUCACCUAUGAAACCGGAACUGGGUGGAUUCCUGCUUAUCGGCCUGUUUCCGGCGAACAUUUGCAGGCUCUGCCACAGCCGCCACACGGAGUGCGGAUCGAUGAGGAAGGCCCUGGACUUGGGAUACCGCCGCCGGUAUAUCUCGUAGUUGGUGAACAGAUCGUAGUCCGCGCUGGUCAGCCAGUCCUCCAGGGUGCCAUUGUACUUGCCCGGAUCCCAGGCGGCAAUCGUGACGUUCCGGAAGAUGGGGGCAUGGGUGAAGUCGAACUCGGGCUUGGUGACCACCUGCGGAGAGGGCGGAAAGUGGGAAUGGGAGCGGAAAAUGCAACUGCAAUCGAAAGUGCGGAACUGCGUUCGGCCUACUUGCGAAUUCACCACACGAAUUGUGGUCUUGCUGCCCACAUCCACCUCGUGUCCUUGCGUGGGCGCAUGAUUGAAUCGCAUCACAAUGUCGUGCGUGUCUGGGAGCAGGGCGGUGCAUUCGCACAUAAAGCCGGGGAAAUAAACAGAAAAUAAACAGAAUUAGAGUAGACGGGUAAAUCAAA